AGGACGAACGCUGGCGGCGUGCUUAACACAUGCAAGUCGAGCGGAAAGGCCCUUCGGGGUACUCGAGCGGCGAACGGGUGAGUAACACGUGAGCAACCUGCCCUUAGCUCCGGGAUAGCUCCGGGAAACCGGAAUUAAUACCGGAUACGACCACGGCCGACAUCUGCUGUGGUGGAAAGGAUUCCGGCUAAGGAUGGGCUCGCGGCCUAUCAGCUAGUUGGUGGGGUAACGCCUACCAAGGCGACGACGGUAGCCGGCCUGAGAGGGCGACCGGCCACACUGGGACUGAGACACGGCCCAGACUCCUACGGGAGGCAGCAGUGGGGAAUAUUGCGCAAUGGGCGAAAGCCUGACGCAGCGACGCCGCGUGGGGGAUGAAGGCCUUCGGGUUGUAAACCCCUUUCAGCAGGGACGAAGCGAAAGUGACGGUACCUGCAGAAGAAGCGCCGGCUAACUACGUGCCAGCAGCCGC
RNAcentral lists this ribosomal RNA (472 nucleotides) under uncultured bacterium. Its description in RNAcentral is "SSU rRNA". It matches the Rfam family "Bacterial small subunit ribosomal RNA", at positions 26 to 518 of the family's 1533-position model. The record is from RNAcentral.